UACGGAGGGUGCAAGCGUUGUUCGGAAUUACUGGGCGUAAAGCGCGUGUAGGCGGACUCGGAAGUCGGGUGUGAAAGCCCCGGGCUUAACUCGGGAAGUGCGCUCGAAACCACGGGUCUUGAGGUCCGGAGGGGAUCGGGGAAUUCCUGGUGUAGAGGUGAAAUUCGUAGAUAUCAGGAGGAACACCGGCGGCGAAGGCGCCGAUCUGGACGGAUUCUGACGCUGAGACGCGAAAGCGUGGGUAGCAAAC
Molecule: ribosomal RNA, 250 nt
Filed under: uncultured bacterium
Lineage: Bacteria
Description: partial 16S ribosomal RNA
Rfam family: Bacterial small subunit ribosomal RNA
Source: RNAcentral